This is a long non-coding RNA of Serinus canaria (Common canary), 1575 nucleotides long. RefSeq lists it as uncharacterized. The record is from RefSeq and is a predicted model, not a curated record. The transcript is spliced from 2 exons. Lineage: Eukaryota; Metazoa; Chordata; Aves; Passeriformes; Fringillidae.
CCCCCUGCCCCCGGAUGGUGCACGCGGUGCGGGCCCCACCCCGGCCCCGCACGCUGGGGAAGCCCCCCCGCGCCGCGCCCCUGGAGCUCCGGCUCCGCCACCCCUUCCUCCCCUCCUGCCCCCCCGCCUCCUCCUGCCGCCGCCGCCGGGAGCCCGGACGGCCCCCGACCCGCCCCCGGCCCCGCUCUUAAAGGCGCCGCCCCGCCGCUUUACGUAACGGCGGGGGUGAGGACGGACAGACGGACAGAUGUUUGGAUGAGCACGGGGAUGGACGCACGGACAGACUCACCGCGGAGCAGUGCCAGGCCCCGGGACCGAUCCACUGCACCGGGGACGCGGACUGCCCUGCACUGCCAAAAUCUCUGCUCCCAGAGUUACCGCAGGGAGAGAGCUCUGCCAGGCGCAGGCAGGAGCUGCGGGAAACGACGUCCCUCCAACAAGUAAAUCAUCCCCGGGGGAAGAGGAGGGACCAGAGCUAUGCCGGGACAGCCCAUAAAGCGCGAGCUGGGAUCCUGGAGAAGCUACCGCACACCCAAAUAGUGCGACUUCUAGAGAUGUGGUGUUUGUAAAGCAGAAGAUGAGACCGGCAUGAGGGACAGGGGAGAAGAGCAGAGAGAAAUUGAAGUUAUUUAAAUGCAGAGCCCCAAACCCAUGCAGUCUCACCCGAGCAGGCCUCUGGGGCUGAGGAAGCAGGUCCUGCCCUCCCAGAGCUGCCCUAGGCUCUAAGCAGUAUCCACACUUGCAUAUCUACCCUGGCCCACGGGACCUCCAGGAUGAGGGGCAGGAACAAGGCAUGAACAAGUGCUGGCUUCCUGGGACACAGCCACCCACAGGCUCCUCCAGCCACCUUCUCAACAGCAGAGACCUCCAAGGCCAUGGCCAAGGGAAACCUGACACUUCAUCCUUCUCCCAUCAUUCAUCCAUACAUCACAGGCUUUUCAGAGUCAAUACUGUGAUGGGGAAGCAAAAGUAGGACACGAAAUGAGGGGGAGGUCUGGGGCCUCCUCCAGUUGUGCUCCUCCACCUCAUUACCAGAGUCCUUAUUGCAGUUGUUUGUGAUAAGGCAGGACUCAGCUGAGUAGCACUGUGAAGUUCAGAUUUGCUACUGCACAUCAACUGAUACUGGAGCUGCUAUAGAGCAGCCCUGAUGGAACAGAACAGCCUUCCUCCAGCUGCCCAAGCUCACCCAUGGCCACAAUGCCACAACAGCAUCAUGGCUUUGCAAGAAGUCACAAGAGAAGGGGUGUGUUCAAGCUUCAACAUCUUUAUUAAAGCAGACAGCAGGUAAUCCAGAACCCCACAAGAGAAACUGAGUGUUCAAGCUUCAAAAAUACUUUAUUCAAGCAAACAGCAGGUAAAUCCAGAAACAGUUUAGCACCCCACAGCAGUCAGAUGCCAGCAGUGAGCAAGGCAUCCCAACAUCCCAGUAGUCACAGCUGUGCUGCCUAGCCAGGAGACAAGCUUUGUCUUUUGUCUCUCUCUGCUGGCUAUAAAGCACAAGAUUAAAUCUGACAUCAAGAUGCAUGCAAACACCACAGUGAGGACUCCCAGACAGCAGCUUUUAGAUGCCAUCCA